GACGGAGGGUGCAAACGUUGUUCGGAAUCACUGGGCAUAAAGAGCACGUAGGCUGCGCGCUAAGUCAGGUGUGAAAUCCCCCGGCUCAACCGGGGAACUGCACCUGAUACUGGCGUGCUCGAGGACGGUAGGGGUGAGUGGAACUCCAGGUGGAGCGGUGAAAUGCGUAGAUAUCUGGAGGAACACCGGUGGCGAAAGCGGCUCACUGGACCGUCUCUGACGCUGAGGUGCGAAAGCUAGGGUAGCAAAC
RNAcentral lists this ribosomal RNA (250 nucleotides) under uncultured bacterium. RNAcentral's name for it is "partial 16S ribosomal RNA". It matches the Rfam family "Bacterial small subunit ribosomal RNA", at positions 524 to 773 of the family's 1533-position model. The record is from RNAcentral.